Long non-coding RNA from Frankliniella occidentalis (western flower thrips), 361 nucleotides. RefSeq lists it as uncharacterized. NCBI's taxonomy places the organism in Eukaryota, Metazoa, Arthropoda, Insecta, Thysanoptera, Thripidae. The record is from RefSeq and is a predicted model, not a curated record. The transcript has 2 exons.
UUUUUUACGUUUCCUCUUUGUAUUAUCGCAUCGUUAGUAAUUUCUCUUCGUGCAGGUUUUGUCUUCUGUGGACGUAUGGUGAUAUAGAGGCACAAGAGCAUGCUGGUACCAGAACUGCUGCCGUUAAUCAAAGUCGGAAGGUGCUUUGGUAGAUUUCAAUAAGCAGGGGGGUAGUACCUUCUGCUGAAGAACCCAUUAUAAACUGGCUGAUAUAUGCAGCGAGAAGACUGUUUAUGUUUUUCUUUAAGUUUCGUUGCAUCUAGUCAUUGCUAUUUUUGUUUUAAAGAUUAGGAUUUAUUUCUUUAUGUUAUUGUUUUCAUGUUUCAUCAAAUAAAGUCAACAUUCUACUCAAAAAAAAAAA